This 441-nucleotide ribosomal RNA is filed under the name Triticum aestivum (bread wheat). RNAcentral's name for it is "partial small subunit ribosomal RNA". The record is from RNAcentral. Lineage: Eukaryota; Viridiplantae; Streptophyta; Magnoliopsida; Poales; Poaceae.
AUGUCGAGCUCCACUUCAGCCUCCCGCCCCUCGUGGAACCAGUAUAGUACACUUCCCAUGGAGCGAUGUCCUGACUGCCCACGCAACGCGCCACUUAUACAGUUGACUUCGAAGGAGGUCAAGAAUGGCAACAAUGGGCGCGAGUUCAUGAAAUGCGAGAGCAAGCCAAAGGGGCAUAUCGUGAAGAAAUGCACACAUUUUGAAUGGCUGGAUGACUACGUUAAGAGGAUUCAAUUCAAUGGGGCCCCAACCCGGGAGCUCAAUCUGCCGUCAGCACCAACAAAUUUGGUCUCUGAAAAUGCUGCUCUAAUAGUUGGGGAUGCAGAUCUGAAGGGGGGAUUAAAGAAGAUGAACAAGAACUUGAAGCAGAUGAUUCAACUGAACAAGCAGGCGGAUCUGAUAGCUUUAGGAUUUUGUUUUUGUAUAGUUGCUCUAGGAAUU